RNAcentral lists this ribosomal RNA (345 nucleotides) under uncultured bacterium. Its description in RNAcentral is "partial 16S ribosomal RNA". It matches the Rfam family "Bacterial small subunit ribosomal RNA", at positions 338 to 680 of the family's 1533-position model. The record is from RNAcentral.
CCUACGGGUGGCAGCAGUGAGGAAUAUUGGUCAAUGGACGAGAGUCUGAACCAGCCAAGUAGCGUGAAGGAGGACUGCCCUAUGGGUUGUAAACUUCUUUUAUAGGGGAAUAAAAUGGUCCACGUGUGGGAUUUUGUAUGUACCAUAUGAAUAAGGAUCGGCUCACUCCGUGCCAGCAGCCGCGGUAAUACGGAGGAUCCGAGCGUUCUCCGGAGUUAGUGGGUUUAAAGGGAGCGUAGGUGGCUUGUUAAGGCCGUUGUGAAAGUUUGCGGCUCAACCGUAACAUUGCAGUUGACACUGGCAGUCUUGAGUACAGUAGUGGUGGGCGCAAUUCGUGUUGUAGCG